This 508-nucleotide ribosomal RNA is filed under the name uncultured bacterium. RNAcentral describes it as "partial 16S ribosomal RNA". It matches the Rfam family "Bacterial small subunit ribosomal RNA", at positions 28 to 523 of the family's 1533-position model. The record is from RNAcentral.
GACGAACGCUGGCGGCGCGCUUAACACAUGCAAGUCGAGCGAGAACCAGCCUUUCGGGGCUGGGGACAGCGGCGAACGGGUGAGUAACACGUGAGUAAUCUGCCCUCGGCACCGGGAUAGCCCGGGGAAACCCGGAUUAAUACCGGAUGGCCUCUCGAGCUCUCGGGCUCGUGAGAAAAGGUAGCUUCGGCCUCCGGCCGCGGAGGAGCUCGCGGCGGAUUAGCUUGUUGGCGGGGUAACGGCCCACCAAGGCGACGAUCCGUAGCUGGUCUGAGAGGAUGAUCAGCCACACUGGGACUGAGACACGGCCCAGACUCCUACGGGAGGCAGCAGUGGGGAAUCUUGCGCAAUGGGCGAAAGCCUGACGCAGCGACGCCGCGUGGGGGAAGAAGGCCUUCGGGUUGUAAACCUCUUUCAGGAGGGACGAAGCCACUCGGGUUAAUAGCCCAGAGGGUGACGGUACCUCCAGAAGAAGCCCCGGCUAACUACGUGCCAGCAGCCGCGGUAA